Molecule: long non-coding RNA, 320 nt
Filed under: Hordeum vulgare
Lineage: Eukaryota; Viridiplantae; Streptophyta; Magnoliopsida; Poales; Poaceae
Description: long non-coding RNA (HVUL_LNC002052)
Source: RNAcentral
UGUUUUUCCUCUAGUGGUGUUAUGUGAACGUCGACUACAUAACACUUCACCAUUAUUUGGGCCUAGAGGAAGGCAUUGGGAAGUAGUAAGUAGAUGAUGGGUUGCUAGAGUGACAGAAGCUUAAACCCUAGUUUAUGCGUUGCUUCGUAAGGGGCUGAUUUGGAUCCACUAGUUUAAUGCUAUGGUUAGACUUUGUCUUAAUUCUUAUUUCGUAGUUGUGGAUGCUUGCGAGAGGGGUUAAUCAUAAGUGGGAUGCUUGUCCAAGUAAGGGCAGUACCCAAGCGCCGGUCCACCCACAUAUCAAACUAUCAAAGUAACGA